Molecule: ribosomal RNA, 501 nt
Filed under: uncultured bacterium
Lineage: Bacteria
Description: partial 16S ribosomal RNA
Rfam family: Bacterial small subunit ribosomal RNA
Source: RNAcentral
AUUGAACGCUGGCGGCAGGCUUAACACAUGCAAGUCGAGCGGGGGAAGGUAGCUUGCUACCGGACCUAGCGGCGGACGGGUGAGUAAUGCUUAGGAAUCUGCCUAUUAGUGGGGGACAACAUCUCGAAGGGGAUGCUAAUACCGCAUACGUCCUACGGGAGAAAGCAGGGGAUCUUCGGACCUUGCGCUAAUAGAUGAGCCUAAGUCGGAUUAGCUAGUUGGUGGGGUAAAGGCCUACCAAGGCGACGAUCUGUAGCGGGUCUGAGAGGAUGAUCCGCCACACUGGGACUGAGACACGGCCCAGACUCCUACGGGAGGCAGCAGUGGGGAAUAUUGGACAAUGGGGGGAACCCUGAUCCAGCCAUGCCGCGUGUGUGAAGAAGGCCUUAUGGUUGUAAAGCACUUUAAGCGAGGAGGAGGCUACUCUAGUUAAUACCUAGGGAUAGUGGACGUUACUCGCAGAAUAAACACCGGCUAACUCUGUGCCAGCAGCCGCAGUAA